RNAcentral lists this ribosomal RNA (224 nucleotides) under uncultured Anaerolineaceae bacterium. RNAcentral's name for it is "partial 16S ribosomal RNA". It matches the Rfam family "Bacterial small subunit ribosomal RNA", at positions 1159 to 1382 of the family's 1533-position model. Lineage: Bacteria; Bacillati; Chloroflexota; Anaerolineae; Anaerolineales; Anaerolineaceae. The record is from RNAcentral.
AAAUCCGGAGGAAGGUGAGGAUGAUGUCAAGUCAGCAUGACCUUUAUAUCCAGGGCUACACACACGCUACAAUGGUCUGUACAAUGGGUAGCCAAGCCGCGAGGCGGAGCCAAUCCUGAAAGCAGGCCUCAGUUCAGAUUGCAGUCUGCAACUCGACUGCAUGAAGCCGGAGUUGCUAGUAACCGCAGGUCAGCAAUACUGCGGUGAAUACGUUCCCGGGUCUU